UGCGUAGGGGGCAAGCGUUGUCCGGAUUUAUUGGGCGUAAAGAGCUCGUAGGCGGUUCCGUAAGUCGGUAGUCAAAUCUCUGGGCUUAACCCAGAGCCGCUUCCGAUACUGCGGUGACUCGAGUCCGGUAGAGGAGUGUGGAAUUCCAGGUGUAGCGGUGAAAUGCGCAGAUAUCUGGAGGAACACCAACGGCGAAGGCAGCACUCUGGGCCGGUACUGACGCUGAGGAGCGAAAGCAUGGGGAGCAAACAGG
RNAcentral lists this ribosomal RNA (253 nucleotides) under uncultured bacterium. RNAcentral describes it as "partial 16S ribosomal RNA". It matches the Rfam family "Bacterial small subunit ribosomal RNA", at positions 524 to 776 of the family's 1533-position model. The record is from RNAcentral.